This is a long non-coding RNA of Hemicordylus capensis (graceful crag lizard), 258 nucleotides long. RefSeq lists it as uncharacterized. NCBI's taxonomy places the organism in Eukaryota, Metazoa, Chordata, Lepidosauria, Squamata, Cordylidae. The record is from RefSeq and is a predicted model, not a curated record. The transcript is spliced from 3 exons.
CCUGUGUCUUAUCUGGAGUGCCAAUUUUUUUCCUCCAAAAUCAGACAGAACAAGGGAAGGUGAAUAAAGAAGGGCUAUUUAAUCCUUUCCCUCAGAUUUGAAACCACAGUAUAUUUCAGAAAACAGAUGUCACUGAGCCAAGAAAAUCUCCCACCUCCCCAUGCCGUAUGCUACUGAGAUUGCAGUUAGUUGCCAUCGCCUAAAAGAUAACAGAUUUAAAUUUAUGCUGGGAGCCUUAUACGGCCAACAACACUUAUA